AACGCACCUUGCGCUCCCUGGUAUUCCGGGGAGCACGCCUGUUCGAGUGUCAUGAAACUCUCAAGCAAGAUAGAUUUAUUUCUAUCUCUGUUUGGAUAUGGACUCUGCCGCGUCAAUGCGGCUGGUCUUAAAUAUAUUAGCUGGUCCUAGUGAAGGUUUGGUUCUACUCAGCAUGAUAAUUAUCUGAUGUUGAGGACAGUCUUAGGACUGGCCAGGCUCUCUCUGGAUUGCUUCUAAUCGUCUUUGGACAAUUAAUCAAUAUCUGACCUCGAAUCAGGUGGGACUACCCGCUGAACUUAA
This 300-nucleotide unclassified non-coding RNA is filed under the name uncultured fungus. Its description in RNAcentral is "partial contains 5.8S ribosomal RNA, internal transcribed spacer 2, and large subunit ribosomal RNA". RNAcentral also lists the same sequence under 1 other name. Lineage: Eukaryota; Fungi. The record is from RNAcentral.